AAAUCGUUGACGGUAGGCCUAGACUUGCAUAUCGGAGCGGCAGCGGAGGUAGCUUGCUCCUUUGCCGGCGAGCGGCGGACGGGUGAGUAAUGUCUGGGAAACUGCCUGAUGGAGGGGGAUAACUACUGGAAACGGUAGCUAAUACCGCAUAACGUCGCAAGACCAAAGAGGGGGACCUUCGGGCCUCUUGCCAUCAGAUGUGCCCAGAUGGGAUUAGCUAGUAGGUGGGGUAACGGCUCACCUAGGCGACGAUCCCUAGCUGGUCUGAGAGGAUGACCAGCCACACUGGAACUGACACACGGUCCACACUCCUACGGGAGGCAGCAGUGGGGAAUAUUGCACAAUGGGCGCAAGCCUGAUGCACCCAUGCCGCGUGUAUGAAGAAGGCCUUCGGGUUGUAAAGUACUUUCAGCGGGGAAGAGGGUGUUGAGGUUAAUAACCUCAGCUAUUGACUUUACCCGCAGAAGAAGCACCGGCUAACUCCGUGCCAGCAGCCGCGGUAAUACGGAGGGUGCACGCGUUAAUCGGAAUUACUGGGCGUAAAGCGCACGCAGGCGGUCUGUCAAGUCAGAUGUGAAAUCCCCGGGCUCAACCUGGGCACUGCAUUCGAAACUGGCAGGCUAGAGUCUUGUAGAGGGGGGAUAGUAUUCCGGGUGUAGCGGUGAUAUGCGUAGAGAUCUGGAGG
Molecule: ribosomal RNA, 685 nt
Filed under: bacterium HPC1072
Lineage: Bacteria
Description: bacterial SSU rRNA
Rfam family: Bacterial small subunit ribosomal RNA
Source: RNAcentral